RNAcentral lists this ribosomal RNA (481 nucleotides) under uncultured bacterium. Its description in RNAcentral is "bacterial SSU rRNA". It matches the Rfam family "Bacterial small subunit ribosomal RNA", at positions 28 to 540 of the family's 1533-position model. The record is from RNAcentral.
GAUAAACGCUGGCGGCGUGCCUAACACAUGCAAGUCGAACGCCCUUUUGCGCAAGUGAGAGGGAGUGGCGGACGGGUGAGUACCACGUGGGUACCUACCUUGAGGUGAGGAAUACCACCGAGAAAUCGGUGACAAGACCGCAUACGCUUGGCAACAAGCAAAGUCUCGCAAGAGACGCCACAAGAUGGGCCUGCGCCUGAUUAGCUAGUUGGUGAGGUAAUGGCNCACCAAGGCGACGAUCAGUAGCUGGUCUGAGAGGAUGAUCAGCCACACUGGGAUUGAGAACGGCCCAGACUCCUACGGGGGCAGCAGUGAGGAAUUUUCGUCAAUGGGGGCAACCCUGAACGAGCAACGCCGCGUGCAGGACGACACUUUUCGGAGCGUAAACUGCUUUACGUGGGGACGAGAACAAGGACGGUACCCCAGCAAUAAGCCCCGGCUAACUACGUGCCAGCCGCCGCCGUAACACCUGAGACUGACG